CCGCUGCGAGGAAGAGCUCUGGGCUGGUGACGUCAUCAAGCCGUGCGAGGCGGGGCUGCGGACGGUGGGCGGGAGGCUGCCAACGGUUUUGAGCGCAGGGAGGGCGGUGAGGGUGGGUGUGGAGGCGUCCUUGGUCUCCCGGACCGGGGCUCAGGGGAGGGGGAUAGCCCCUUGUCGACACCGUGGCAAACUGAGGGGGCUGAGGUCCGGCGGUGUGGCGAGGAGUCGCGAGGGGUGGUUGGGGUAGAGGAUCGCAGGCUAGGCUUGAGGGCGGCGUACCUUUUAGAGACGUCUGAGGAGGUGACCGAGUGUUCACGAAGUUUCUCUCGGGAGAGCGAGGAGGGAGGGAGGCUAGGGAAACUUACUAUGGUUUUCUUGCCAGAAGGGGUCGGAGGGGAUAUACAAGAGGGUUGACCGUGGGUGGAACAGGCGCAUGGCGGAGGGGUGUGAGCCGGUGGGGAACCUGAGGUUCCUGCCUCUCUGAGACCGGGACCAGGUGAGGGGCACAUAAGGCGGCUGGAGGGAAGUUAGGCCCUUAUUGGGUUUGCGCCCAUUUCAGUUUGCACGUUGAGUUCAGUUGACCCGUGAUGGCCGGUGCCAGAAGUUGAUCUACAGCUUUCAGCCCUCCAGGGAACUGCAGGGGUGCUGUCGCUCCUCCGUCUUCUGUCCCCACCCACUCCUUGCUGCACCCUCCUUUUCCACCGUUCCCAGGAGCUGUGGAAGGAAAUGCUUUUGCCCUCUCCCAUGGCCUCUGAAACCGCCAGAAACCUUUCCUCUAACCAGAAAGCCUCCAUACCGUUAGUCACCAAGGCUCCUGGGCUUGGAGCCUUCCUCCUUUCUCCCAAAUCUUCUUCCGUGUACUUCGCCCCUUGGCCUGUCCUACAGCAGGACCAGAAGUUCCCAGCUGUACUGUCUGCAGUUGUCUCUUCCUUGUACCCAUGGCGACAUCAGCUACGGUUCCCAGUUCACCCCUCCGGGCUGAGGAUCUCCUGAGUGAUUCAUCAGAAGCCCCUGGGCUGAACCAAAUGUCCUCUGAGGUGACCUCCCAGCUCUAUGCUUCUUUGCACCUCAGUCGCCAGGCAGAGGCCACAGCCCGAGCCCAGCUGUAUCUGCCCUCCUCCUCCCCACCUCCUCAUGAGAUGUUAGAUGGCUUGGCCCAAGAGCUGAGUCGCAGCUUGUCAGUUGGAUUGGAGAACAACUUGAAGAAAAAGGUGAGAGAGGUGUGUCUUGGGGACCUCCAGGGUCUUGGAAUUGGAGGUGGUUAAAAAAAAAUGGCUUUGCUGAGAUUUGAACCCCUCUUGUUGGAUUUCACAUUGCUUUUUUUUUUUUUUCCCAAUGUUUAUUUAUUUUUGGGGGGACAGAGAGAGACAGAGCAUGAACGGGGGAGGGGCAGAGAGAGAGGGAGACACAGAAUCAGAAACAGGCUCCAGGCUCUGAGCCAUCAGCCCAGAGCCCGACGCGGGGCUCGAACUCACGGACCGCGAGAUCGUGACCUGGCUGAAGUCGGACGCUUAACCGACUGCGCCACCCAGGCGCCCCUCACAUUGCUUUUAACUAGAGUCCUUUAUGCUCGUUCCUGGGAGCAAAUGUUUAUGAGGCAGAGAGUGGCCCAGGGACACCAUACUUGGGGAAAUUAUGAAACUUAACUAGUGUUUUUUGGUCAGAGACACCUGCACUGUGCUUUGAUUGGCCCCCCGGGCACUAAGAGUGAGGAUAAGGACAGCAAAACGUGCUAAGCUCCUCCCAGCUCAAAGCUAUUUUGGUUGUAUGGUGUAAAGUUUGGCAUCUAAAUCAUUAAAACACAGCCUGAUCAAUCACACGUGCUACAGAAAGGAUAGUUACGCGUGUUGGCUAGAAAAAGUGUCGUAAACAAUUUGCAGACCAGUUGGGUCUCUCGCCACGGACUGUACGGUCUUCGGAGAAGAGGUUUGCUCUCUAGCUGACAAGCGUCCUCACCAGUCUUGUCUUAAUGUGCCUAGUUAAUUCAUUCCCACUACCUGUCUGGCUUCUGCAGACAUUUGAGUUGAGUCAGUUCUGUUUUUCUUAGCUCUCCCAGGUGCCGGAGUAAAAAUUCUUGGGUUGGCGGGGUGGGGGGUACCGGAUGCCAUCUGCCCUGGCGGUAGGUCGAACAUAGGUUUUUCAGUGUGCAUCUGAUUUUCAUGUUGCUUUUUUUUUUUUUUCCCCCUAGGAUGGUUCGAAGCAUAUCUUUGAGAUGGAAAGUGUUCGGGGUCAACUUCAGAGCUUGCUCCAGACCUCCCGUGAUACAGCCCAUCGUGAGUAAACCCCUUGACCAUGAAGAAGUGCACAGACGUAAGGGGCGGGAGAAGGUGGAGAAAGGAAGACUCAGGUUUCAGGAGAGGCUCCGGUUCUUUGGGAGAGGGGCCAGAGGAGUGGGUGCAGUAGAAAGGAAGGCCCUCUCCUCUCUUCUCCUUCAAGUGGUCCCUGUUCCAAAGUCUUACCUGACCCUGGCUCUGGGGUCUCUCUGGCUGCCUGCAGGGGACCCCCUCACUCCAGGUGCUGGCUCAGAGAGACGAGAAGAGGACUCCUUUGACAGUGACAGCACAGCCACCUUGCUGAAGUGAGUCUCCCUUGGGUUCUGCUCACUUGCUUGCCUGGAAAGCCAAGUGUUCCGUUCCAUAAUUGUCUCCUUCCUGCUUCUGAACCUCUUAAGGCCCUAAGAUGCUUGUCCCUUACCUUUCAGUUUUCAUCCUUUCUCUCCUGGCUUCUAACUCCUUUACUUCAGGAACGUGGGCAUCUCCUGCCUGGUACCUGGCUUUCUCCCAGGUAUCUUCUUCCCCCGGAAGAGUUGGCUUGUUUCUGCUAAGACUGUUACUGCGGGGAGCGUGGUGUGCAGGAAGGAGCGCUAGAGAGUGAAUCACAGGACCUAAGUGCUGUUGAGGGCCCUGUCACUGUCUAGCUCCGUGACUUUGGGCAAGUCUCUGGCCCUUUCUGAGUUCCAGUUUCCACGUUUGUAAAACGUCACAGUUGGACUAGGGGAUCUCAAAAGCUUUCCCCACCCUGACAUUCUCUACCUGGUUUGCUCAGCACCCGGCCCCUGCAAGACUUAUCUCCGUCCAGCUCGGCCCAAGCCCUGGAGGAGCUGUUUCCGCGCUAUGCCAGUCUUCGGCCAGGACCCCCGCUCGAUCCCCCGGAUUUCCAGGGCCUGAGGGAUGCCCUGGAUUCAGAGCAUACCCGUCGCAAGGUGAGUUACCGAGGCUUCCUUUUGAAAGCAGCGACGAUUAGAAAUAGGCCGGGUGCUGAACAGGGCUGAGGGUUAAGGGCCUGCAAGCCGAGACUUUGCCUUCAGGGUGGUCGUCUUUGACCAUCUGACCUAAAAUGGCACAUUCCUCCUCCCGGCGUUCAGUCGGGUUGCUCUGUUCUUUCUUUCAUAUAGCUGCUUACCACAGCCCGGUACAUCUCAUUUCUCCCCUCUGAAAUCUAAGCUCCACGAGGGCCAUACCUUAUCUCGUUCCGCCCUGUCUUCCUAAGGUCUAGAACAUGCCUGACGCAAAGCAAAGCAAUGUCCCAUAAGCGCGUGGUGAAUGAACAAGCCUCGCUAGCUUGUGCGAAGGCUUUGCAGUUGUCGGUGACCUAGCAAGCUUUAUCUCCAGCCUCUCUGAGGUGGGCAGAGAGAGGGAGUAGGCAGAGGAAGCGUCAGAAUCACUGGUUGUGUUGUCUCUUCCUUGAUCUUAAGUCACUGGGCAUGGAUGAAAGGCUUUCUCCUGUCUUUGCCGUGUUUCAUCACUGUGCCCGAUGAACUUCUUGAGGCAGGAGUGACCUCCCACUCUUUGCCGUGUGGGCUGUCGCGCUGCUACCAGAGGGUUCAUGGGAAUUCUUCUCGGGAGAGCCAGGAAAAGGAAGAGCCCGGAAGCUAAGCCCCUGUCUCCUGAGAUGGUAGGGGAAGGCGUUGGAGGCUUCAAGUUUCCUGCUCCAGAAUUCCUGAUUCUUCUUCUCCAAACCUCCUCUGUUCUGGGGACCCAAGCUCCCUGUGUCCAGCCCGUUUUCACCGAGAAAACCUGGGAAGUUUGAUGCUUUGGUCAGCUUAGGGACGGUCACCCCCACUUGUCACCCUUCUUCCCAGCAUUGCGAGCGCCAUAUUCAGAGCCUCCAGACCCGAGUGCUGGAGCUUCAGCAACAGUUAGCUGUGGCUGUGACUGCCGACCGCAAGAAAGAUGUUAUGAUCGAGCAGUUGGACAAGGUGCCAGGGGGGCAGAAUGCGGGCGGGGCUCUCCACGGGGGGAAGAGUAAACGGGGUGGCCGGCCGGCAUUUCUGUGCUCACUCUGGGAGCUGGGGCCCGGUGUGGAUUUCCCGAUCCUGGGAGAAGGUGGCUGUUGACCCCGCUCCUGCGGGCAGAAAGAGGGCAAAACAAUGAUUUUGAAAUGCCAUCUGACUCUCCUCUCCUGAGACCCUGGCCCGCGUGGUGGAGGGCUGGAACCGGCACGAAGCCGAGCGGGCAGAGGUCCUUCGGGGGCUCCAGGAGGAACGCCAGGCAGCCGAACUCACCAGAAGCAAGCAGCAGGAGGUGGGCAACCUGGAUCAGAUGGCAUUAGAACCGGGGUCACAGAUUGGCAGGUGGAAGGGGGUUGAAGUAGCUCCGAAGCAGGGUUCCCGACCGAUUGAGCCAGGGUUGCAGAAACCGACCUGCUCUCUUUUCACCAUUUUUACUGUCAGAAUUGCCUCAUCUGUGUCUUCCCAGCUUUCCCCACACCCUGUGGUCUUCUCUUUGGCCCUCAAGUCAUUUAGUUAGGUCUUCUUUUUCUUUUUUUUAUUAAAAAAUUUUUUUUUAAUGUUUAUUCAUUUUUUGAGAGAGAGAGAGAGAGAGAGAGAGAGAGAGCAUGCGCAAGUGGGGGGAGGGGCAGAGAGAGAGAGAGACACAGAAUCUGAAGCAGGCUCCAGGCUCUGAGCUGUCAGCACAGAGCCCGACACAGGGCUCGAACCCAUGAACCGCGAGAUCGUGACCCAAGCUGAAGUCGGAUGCCCAACCGACCGGGCCACCCAGGUGCCCCAGGUCUUACUUUUAAAGUCUAUCUCAUUGACGCUUUUUGAACUAUGAGUUCGUCAGUUCCCCUGUCUUGUGUCCCCCUGUCCCUGAAAGACAGUAACCCACCUGGAGCAAAGCCUUUCUGAGGCCAUGGAGGCCCUGAGUCGUGAGCAGGAAGGCGCCAGACUGCAGCAACGGGAAAGAGAGACGCUGGUGAGAACGCUGGACUGGGUUGAUUCCGGUGGAAGCCGCUAAUUACUUCUGGAGGGGUGCUUGCCGUUGGCGGGUUGUGGGAGCUGCACUGGGGGAGUGUUUCCCAAAGACUGAUCUUAGAACACUUGUUCUGCAAACAGGGCUCUGCCACCAAGUUAGCUUAAGAGACUCGGCAAAUUAUUUCCUCGUUAGAAUUACCUGGGGGAUUACUUUAAAAUGUAGAUUUCGGGGACCCACUGCCAGGGGUUGUGAUUCAGUAGGCAUAUGGUGGGGCUGGGAGCCUAAAUGUUUUCAGCAGUUUCCUAGCUGAUUUUGCUCAGCCAGGCUUGGGAACUGUGGUGUAGGGCAUGGCGAAGCCGGGUGUGGGACAAGACUCCGUCAGGUUUCUUCCUGCUGAAGUGACAAGAGGAUUACCCACGUGAACGAGCAGCCAGGUUUGGAACUCACCGUGUGCAUGACAUGUGCCUGCUACGUGCAGGCUGGUACUUGUCAUCUUUUAGUUUUUUUAUUACUUUUUUUAAUGUUUUAUUUGUGAGAGAGACAGAGAGAAACAUGAGUGGGGGAGGGACAGAGAGAGAAGGAGACAAAGAAUCCAAAACAGGCUCCAGGCUCUGAGCUCCCAGCUGUCAGCCCAGAGCCCGACACGGGCUCGAACUCUUGGACCGCGAGAUCAUGACCUGAGCCGAAGUCGGCCGCUUAACCGACCGAGCCACCCAGGCGCCCUUGGUACUUCUCAUCUUAACAGGCUUUGUCCAACAGUAUGGGUGAUGGGUGCUGGUUGGCUAGGACAUGACUUUGCGGGCUGGAUUUUCUGGUCUCCGUGGAACUUCUCUUGAUGAUGAUAGUGAUGGCUGUUGUGUACGGAGUGCUCACCGUGUGCCGGGCCCCCGUGCUAAUUACUUCCUGUGCGCUUUGCACCGUAAUCCUCACGAGGUAGACCCUGGCAUGAUGCCGUUUUGCAGAUUGAGACGCGUGCCUCAGAACGCAUAGGAAGGGACAGAUUUGAACCCAGAUGUACCUAAUUCCGGAACAGAAGCUCUUAUUUACUAUAUCCUAAUCCCGUGGGCUGGCCAACUGCUGUGUUUCUCGUGGACGUAAUUCUCAGGGCGCUGGUCCUCUGUGUGGGGCGAGGGGACAGAUUGCUGGCGUUGGACGGGCUCGUAAGGAGCUUGGUUUCCCCUGGGGCCAUAGGAGGAGGAGAGGCAGGCUCUGACCCUGAGCUUGGAGCUGGAACAGCAGCGGUGCCGGGCUCUGCAGGAAGAGCGGGACGAGGCCCGGGCCGGGCAGCUCAGUGAGCACCGGCAGCUGGAGACACUGAAGGUGGCCCUGGAAGGGGAACGGCAGGCGUGGGCCGAGCAGGAGCGCCAGCUGGAGGAGCGCCACCGGGCGCUGCGGGACGACGUGCAGGCCCAGCUGGAGCAGG
RNAcentral lists this long non-coding RNA (6618 nucleotides) under Lynx pardinus (Iberian lynx). The record is from RNAcentral. Lineage: Eukaryota; Metazoa; Chordata; Mammalia; Carnivora; Felidae.